UUCAAGUUAGAGAAAAAUUAAAACAUGCCACGAGUAAAGCCAAAAAACUGGAAAAACAACUUCAAAAAGAUAAAGAAAAGGUUGAAGAAUUUAAAAGUAUACCUGCCAAGAGUAACAAUAUCAUUAAUGAAACAACAACCAGAAACAAUGCCCUCGAGAAGGAAAAAGAGAAAGAAGAAAAAAAAUUAAAGGAAGUUAUGGAUAGCCUUAAACAGGAAACACAAGGGCUUCAGAAAGAAAAAGAAGUAAGUUUUUUUUAAUCAGUGUUUAUUUUGGUGGCUUUUUUUUUUUUUUUUGACUUAAAGAUUAUUUUUUCAAAAAUACUGAAACCUGAACUGGUAAGUUUGGACUUUUAAUGUCCAACAUUCCUAAAACUAGUCAACCUAGACUUAGAUGACUAUUCUUUUAAUUCCUGCUGACAUGUUUUUUAAAAAGUUUACUAAAUGAGAGUUUGUAGU
This 458-nucleotide small RNA is filed under the name Pan troglodytes (chimpanzee). Its description in RNAcentral is "retained intron". The record is from RNAcentral. Lineage: Eukaryota; Metazoa; Chordata; Mammalia; Primates; Hominidae.